RNAcentral lists this transfer-messenger RNA (359 nucleotides) under Deferribacteraceae bacterium. It matches the Rfam family "transfer-messenger RNA". Rfam says of the family: Bacterial tmRNA, also known as 10Sa RNA or SsrA, is named for its dual tRNA and mRNA-like properties. Its role is to liberate the mRNA from a stalled ribosome. The record is from RNAcentral. Lineage: Bacteria; Pseudomonadati; Deferribacterota; Deferribacteres; Deferribacterales; Deferribacteraceae.
GGGGGCGCUCGGUUUCGACGGGGUGCUGAAGGUCUUAGGAGCAUGUCAAGGACCAGGUCCUUGUAAAAACUUGGAAAAAAAUAAACGCUAACGAUAGUCAAGAGUUGGCUCUCGCUGCCUAAUUAGCGCAGCGGGCAUCUCCUAAAAAACCCCGCCGUGAGGUGUUUUAGAAAGGUGUAAAAGAUUCCGGCUAGUCAAGCCAGACGCCCUUUCUGGCUGGGCGAAAUCUAAGGGGCUUUUCUCAACUUUAGCCGGUUCUGCGGGCAAAAGGGGAGAGAGACUUAAUCGCAGAGCUAAACAUGUAGAGCCUUAGAUGAUAAGCAUUUCGGACGGGGGUUCGAUUCCCCCCGCCUCCACUC